GCAUUGCUGAGGAGUCCCAUAAUAGAACGAAACGGCCGUUCAGUGU
Non-coding RNA from Schistosoma rodhaini, 46 nucleotides. The record is from Rfam. NCBI's taxonomy places the organism in Eukaryota, Metazoa, Platyhelminthes, Trematoda, Strigeidida, Schistosomatidae.